GACUCUUCAAGGUCCGUGAGUGAGGCUUAAGGAUGUAAGCCACAGCUGAUACUAGAUACUCUUCUCAUAACUGGUUUAUUAAAACACACUGAACCAGAAAUAAAUCCCAGAGUGCUUAUCCACUUAUGCUUGCAGCUUUGCAUUUCAAGGGGGAGUGUGCAUGCUCCAUCUUAAACACACAGCCUUGAUUUUGUAGAUAGCCUAACCUCCAGGAGCAUGCAUCAUCACUGCAAUAGCAGGUCACCAGAUUCUUUGCACACCACACUGAACUAGUGUCAGCAUGACUUAGGAUUGCUCUGACAUAAUGGGAUAAGAAUUUAGAUUAAUUCUUAAAAGGCAGUGGUUUGUUUUCUCUUCUAUGAGGGUUCCUCUAUCCUUGGCUUUCUUAUAUGUUC
Molecule: long non-coding RNA, 395 nt
Filed under: Bos taurus (domestic cattle)
Lineage: Eukaryota; Metazoa; Chordata; Mammalia; Artiodactyla; Bovidae
Description: long non-coding RNA NONBTAT000445
Source: RNAcentral